This is a non-coding RNA of Acanthosepion pharaonis, 112 nucleotides long. The record is from the annotation of a GenBank genome assembly. Lineage: Eukaryota; Metazoa; Mollusca; Cephalopoda; Sepiida; Sepiidae.
UACGAUCGUAUCAAGUUGAAAAACCAGUUCUGAUACGAUCAUCAGAGUUAAGCGACGUUGACCUUAGUUAGUACUUAGAUGGGUGACCGCUUGCGAAUACCAGGUACUGUAA